CCUCUCGUAGUUUAGUGGUGAGAACAUUGGUACGUAAAGCUAAAGGUCCCGGGUUCGAAUCCCGGCGGCGGUC
This 73-nucleotide transfer RNA is filed under the name Agrilus planipennis (emerald ash borer). It matches the Rfam family "tRNA". Rfam says of the family: Transfer RNA (tRNA) molecules are approximately 80 nucleotides in length. Their secondary structure includes four short double-helical elements and three loops (D, anti-codon, and T loops). Lineage: Eukaryota; Metazoa; Arthropoda; Insecta; Coleoptera; Buprestidae. The record is from Rfam by way of RNAcentral.